GUCUGAUGGAGCAUGCCGCGUGAGUGAAGAAGGUUUUCGGAUCGUAAAACUCUGUUGUUGAAGAAGAACAUAUGUGAGAGUAACUGUUCACGUACUGACGGUAUUCAACCAGAAAGCCACGGCUAACUACGUGCCAGCAGCCGCGGUAAUACGUAGGUGGCAAGCGUUGUCCGGAUUUAUUGGGCGUAAAGAGAAUGUAGGCGGUUUAUUAAGUUUGAAGUGAAAGCCCUCGGCUCAACCGAGGAAGUGCUUCGAAAACUGGUAAACUUGAGUGCAGAAGAGGAAAGUGGAACUCCAUGUGUAGCGGUGGAAUGCGUAGAUAUAUGGAAGAACACCAGUGGCGAAGGCGGCUUUCUGGUCUGUAACUGACGCUGAGAUUCGAAAGCAUGGGUAGCAAACAGGAUUAGAUACCCUGGUAGUCCAUGCCGUAAACGAUGAGUGCUAAGUGUUGGAGGGUUUCCGCCCUUCAGUGCUGCAGCUAACGCAUUAAGCACUCCGCCUGGGGAGUACGAUCGCAAGAUUGAAACUCAAAGGAAUUGACGGGGGCCCGCACAAGCGGUGGAUCAU
Molecule: ribosomal RNA, 567 nt
Filed under: Companilactobacillus paralimentarius
Lineage: Bacteria; Bacillati; Bacillota; Bacilli; Lactobacillales; Lactobacillaceae
Description: bacterial SSU rRNA
Rfam family: Bacterial small subunit ribosomal RNA
Source: RNAcentral